Molecule: transfer RNA, 73 nt
Filed under: Felis catus (domestic cat)
Lineage: Eukaryota; Metazoa; Chordata; Mammalia; Carnivora; Felidae
Also listed under: 4 other names
Rfam family: tRNA
About the family: Transfer RNA (tRNA) molecules are approximately 80 nucleotides in length. Their secondary structure includes four short double-helical elements and three loops (D, anti-codon, and T loops).
Source: Rfam by way of RNAcentral
ACCUGGCUGGCUCAGUCAAUAGAGCAUAAGACUCUUGAUCUUAGGGUUGUAAGUUUGAGCCUCACGUUGAGUG